AUUGAACGCUGGCGGCGUGCCUAACACAUGCAAGUCGAGCGGUAACAGGUGUAGCAAUACAUGCUGACGAGCGGCGGACGGGUGAGUAACGCUUGGGAAUCUGCCUAUUAGUGGGGGACAACCCGGGGAAACUCGGGCUAAUACCGCAUACGCACUACGGUGGAAAGCCGGGGACCGCAAGGCCUGGCGCUAACAGAUGAGCCCAAGUCGGAUUAGCUAGUUGGUAGGGUAACGGCCUACCAAGGCGACGAUCCGUAACUGGUCUGAGAGGACGACCAGUCACACCGGAACUGAGACACGGUCCGGACUCCUACGGGAGGCAGCAGUGGGGAAUAUUGGACAAUGGGCGAAAGCCUGAUCCAGCGACGCCGCGUGGGUGAAGAAGGCCUGCGGGUUGUAAAGCCCUUUCAGUAGGGGAAGAAAAGCCUCGAGCUAACACCUCGGGGUCUUGACGUAACCCAUAGAAGAAGCACCGGCUAACUCUGUGCCA
This 490-nucleotide ribosomal RNA is filed under the name uncultured bacterium. Its description in RNAcentral is "bacterial SSU rRNA". It matches the Rfam family "Bacterial small subunit ribosomal RNA", at positions 29 to 510 of the family's 1533-position model. The record is from RNAcentral.